RNAcentral lists this ribosomal RNA (274 nucleotides) under uncultured bacterium. Its description in RNAcentral is "partial 16S ribosomal RNA". It matches the Rfam family "Bacterial small subunit ribosomal RNA", at positions 523 to 796 of the family's 1533-position model. The record is from RNAcentral.
AUACGGAGGGUGCAAGCGUUAAUCGGAAUUACUGGGCGUAAAGCGUACGUAGGCGGUUAUUUAAGUCAGAUGUGAAAGCCCCGGGCUUAACUUGGGAACUGCAUUUGAAACUGGGUAACUAGAGUUUAGUAGAGGGGAGUGGAAUUUCAGGUGUAGCGGUGAAAUGCGUAGAGAUCUGAAGGAACACCAGUGGCGAAGGCGACUCCCUGGACUAGAACUGACGCUGAGGUACGAAAGCGUGGGUAGCAAACAGGAUUAGAUACCCUAGUAGUCC